UACGUAGGGGCCUAGCGUUGUCCGGAUUUAUUGGGCGUAAAGAGCUCGUAGGCGGCUUGUCGCGUCGUCUGUGAAAUCCCGCGGCUCAACCGCGGGUCUGCAGUCGAUACGGGCAGGCUAGAGUUCGGUAGGGGAGACUGGAAUUCCUGGUGUAGCGGUGAAAUGCGCAGAUAUCAGGAGGAACACCGGUGGCGAAGGCGGGUCUCUGGGCCGAUACUGACGCUGAGGAGCGAAAGCGUGGGGAGCGAACAGG
RNAcentral lists this ribosomal RNA (253 nucleotides) under uncultured bacterium. RNAcentral describes it as "partial 16S ribosomal RNA". It matches the Rfam family "Bacterial small subunit ribosomal RNA", at positions 524 to 776 of the family's 1533-position model. The record is from RNAcentral.